GCCCAGAUAGCUCAGUCGGUAGAGCAGGGGACUGAAAAUCCCCGUGUCGGGGGUUCGAUUCCGCCUCUGGGCACCA
Molecule: transfer RNA, 76 nt
Filed under: Clostridioides difficile
Lineage: Bacteria; Bacillati; Bacillota; Clostridia; Peptostreptococcales; Peptostreptococcaceae
Description: tRNA-Phe
Rfam family: tRNA
About the family: Transfer RNA (tRNA) molecules are approximately 80 nucleotides in length. Their secondary structure includes four short double-helical elements and three loops (D, anti-codon, and T loops).
Source: RNAcentral